This 449-nucleotide ribosomal RNA is filed under the name uncultured bacterium. Its description in RNAcentral is "partial 16S ribosomal RNA". It matches the Rfam family "Bacterial small subunit ribosomal RNA", at positions 29 to 523 of the family's 1533-position model. The record is from RNAcentral.
AACGAACGCUGGCGGCAUGCCUAACACAUGCAAGUCGAACGAGACCUUCGGGUCUAGUGGCGCACGGGUGCGUAACGCGUGGGAAUCUGCCCUUAGGUUCGGGAUAACUCAGGGCAACUUGAGCUAAUACCGGAUGAUGUCUUCGGACCAAAGAUUUAUCGCCUAAGGAUGAGCCCGCGUAGGAUUAGCUUGUUGGUGAGGUAAAGGCUCACCAAGACGACGAUCCUUAGCUGGUCUGAGAGGAUGAUCAGCCACACUGGGACUGAGACACGGCCCAGACUCCUACGGGAGGCAGCAGUGGGGAAUAUUGGACAAUGGGCGAAAGCCUGAUCCAGCAAUGCCGCGUGAGUGAUGAAGGCCCUAGGGUUGUAAAGCUCUUUUACCCGGGAUGAUAAUGACAGUACCGGGAGAAUAAGCCCCGGCUAACUCCGUGCCAGCCGCCGCCGUAA